GACGAACGCUGGCGGCGUGCCUAAUACAUGCAAGUAGAACGCUGAAGGAGGAGCUUGCUUCUCUGGAUGAGUUGCGAACGGGUGAGUAACGCGUAGGUAACCUGCCUGGUAGCGGGGGAUAAUUAUUGGAACCGAUAGCUAAUACCGCAUAAAAGAAGAUUUUGCAUGAAAUUUGCUUAAAAGUUGCAAUUGCAUCACUACCAGAUGGACCUGCGUUGUAUUAGCUAGUUGGUGGGGUAACGGCUUACCAAGGCGACGAUACAUAGCCGACCUGAGAGGGUGAUCGGCCACACUGGGACUGAGACACGGCCCAGACUCCUACGGGAGGCAGCAGUAGGGAAUCUUCGGCAAUAGACGGAAGUCUGACCGAGCAACGCCGCGUGAGUGAAGAAGGUUUUCGGAUCGUAAAGCUCUGUUGUAAGAGAAGAACGAGUGUGAGAGUGGAAAGUUCACACUGUGACGGUAUCUUACCAGAAAGGGACGGCUAACUACGUG
Molecule: ribosomal RNA, 495 nt
Filed under: uncultured bacterium
Lineage: Bacteria
Description: partial 16S ribosomal RNA
Rfam family: Bacterial small subunit ribosomal RNA
Source: RNAcentral